UGCAAAAAAUCUUUUCUAAAAUUAAUUCCACGUAGUUUGUCUACGACGAUAAAUUUUUCGAGUUUGAAUAACAUUUUCAAUUUUCUCUACAACUAAGAGAUGGGACAUACAUACAGGCUUCUCUACAAAUACUACUUUCUUGCUCGGGAAUUUUCACUAUACUAGUUCCAAAAAAUAGAAAACUUUGUGAUGCAUUUGAAUUAUCGUAUAUUUGAUAUCGUAUAAUAAUCGAAAGAAAUCAAAUUUGGAAGAUAGUCUUAA
Molecule: unclassified non-coding RNA, 261 nt
Filed under: Bombus terrestris (buff-tailed bumblebee)
Lineage: Eukaryota; Metazoa; Arthropoda; Insecta; Hymenoptera; Apidae
Description: misc RNA ENSBTSG00005027184.1
Source: RNAcentral